UUGGUAUCUUAGUGGCGGACGGGUGAGUAACGCGUGGGUAACCUGCCUUACACUGGGGGAUAACACUUAGAAAUAGGUGCUAAUACCGCAUAACAGGAGAAGACGCAUGUCUUUUCCUUGAAAACUCCGGUGGUGUAAGAUGGACCCGCGUCUGAUUAGCUGGUUGGCGGGGUAACGGCCCACCAAGGCGACGAUCAGUAGCCGGCCUGAGAGGGUGGACGGCCACAUUGGGACUGAGACACGGCCCAAACUCCUACGGAAGGCAGCAG
This 269-nucleotide ribosomal RNA is filed under the name uncultured bacterium. RNAcentral describes it as "partial 16S ribosomal RNA". It matches the Rfam family "Bacterial small subunit ribosomal RNA", at positions 84 to 354 of the family's 1533-position model. The record is from RNAcentral.